This 1885-nucleotide long non-coding RNA is filed under the name Triticum aestivum (bread wheat). RNAcentral's name for it is "long non-coding RNA (TAES_LNC012700)". Lineage: Eukaryota; Viridiplantae; Streptophyta; Magnoliopsida; Poales; Poaceae. The record is from RNAcentral.
UUUAAGUUGCGACGAGUUCGACGCGCCGUUCAGGGCCAUUGUCUGUGGCCGUGGCGACGGAGCACGCACUGUUGGACAACAAGGUGCAUGGUAUCCGGGCCGGCUGCUAGCAGGCGAUGUGGGUCUCGACGACCUUCUACGGCUCACCGACGAGGCGUUCCGACGGGCAGAAGUCCAGGUGAGGUUGAAUUCUCCGGCAAGGCUCUCUCCCUUUCUUUCUCUUGUGUGUGUCUUCUCCUCCGCCUGGGCGUUGAUCUGAGGCAGGAGGCACAACGGUUGCAAGGUGGGACGGUGGAGGCUGUGGGAGGCCUCCAGAUAGUGUGGCCAGAAGUGGUGGUGCCGACGGCCCCGACGGCACGCGACGCAGGUCGUGCUCAACGGCCAUGGUGACGGCCAGUGCAGGGCACGUGUGACUCUGCGAUGGUGAGCACAAGGCCAUGAAGGGGCUCAUGUAGCGCGUCAUGGCGGUGUAGAUGGCUCACAGGUCGACCGUGGGCGGUGGGUGUUGGUAGAGUUUGGUGUGCUUGCGGCGGCGCGACGACUGUUGGUGCGUUUGCACGAUGGCCGUUAGAGCAUGCCCCGGCGUAUCCGAGAGCGUGAGGAAUAGGAAGCGGGUGGUUGCGCCAUUAUGUAGGGCAGCCUCCUACUGUAGCGCAAGGAACUAACUCGCCGAACUCCGGCGGGAUCGGGGCAGAGAGCAGCUCCGUGUAGAUGGCCAGCGUGUCGAGGUUCUCGAGUCGCCCGGAGGGGACCAAAGAUACAGGUCUCCGUGAGGCCGAGCAUGGUGAGAUUGGAGCAAUUGCCGAUCUCCUACUCGUGGGUUCGGCCACUCCGGUGGAGGAUGCCAUGCACCCGACAAGCACAUUGCGCACGUAGCAGAACGUGGGGCAGGCCAAUGGAGGUGUUGUCGCGUGAUCCAGAGCAUGUACGGGUGCAGCUAGAACUUCAAGGUCGUCAUGCCGCCGUGGCCGAUCAGCAAGGAAAUCCACAGCGGCACCGCAAGCGCGCGCUCCAUGCCAUGGAGCGGCUUUUUGGCGCAGCCGCCGCUAGCGUGGUCCGGAUAGUUUCUCCAACGAUGGAUGGAAUCUGGGUGGGCAGGAGGUCGAGGAGGGAGGCGGCUCGCGGCGUUCGAUCAUGAGUACGAUUGGACGACACGGGACGGCAACCCGUCGGCAGGCUGAACGGGCGCGAGCUUAGCGGCGUCAUGAACAUCAUCAACAAGCUGUGCCUCUAUGGUUCUUCUCCUAUCUCGCGUGCGUCGUCCGUCAUGCAGGAUCUGAAUCUCAAUGUCGAGGACCUCGGUGCCCGUCAGUCCUUGCUAUCCCGGGGCCUUCCUUCUUGAUCAUGGUAAUCAAUUCCUUCUCAUUACGCACUAGCAAUGUCAAUGAUACCUUUCUUUGUGGUUAUGAAUAGCCAUAUUUCGAAUUCCUUUUGUCUCACAGACGCACUGGUCAGACGGAGCAACGCGAUGCAGGCCAGCCAGAAGUACGAGCACUAUGUCAACACCACCGCUGCGCAUUCCAGGCCUGCAAGGUCAAUCUCCCGCACGAGUGGACGUAUCGAGAUGCAUAUUGCUCUCUUCUCUGCGACCAAGCAUCGACCGUCUCCCUUGGUUUCCAUGGAUCACUAUAUUUAAUUGAUCAUUAGCGCCAGGUAGAUCUUAGCUACAAGUAGGAGGUGGUGGCAGUAGCAUCAGCGUUAGGCCGGUGUUCUUUUGUGUGCGUCGUGAAACGUUAUUUUAGAUGGUUGGUGAUGGAUGCAGACGAACAACGGAGAAGAAUGAAAAAUAUUAGAGUGAAAUACUUUGAGGAAUGGUUAUUUCAGCAAUGCAUGGUUAAUUGAUUUAAUCUAUAGUAUUUUAAAUGAUUUCAAAAGAUAUUUUGAA